UACGUAGGGUGCAAGCGUUAAUCGGAAUUACUGGGUGUAAAGCGUGCGCAGGCGGCUUUGCAAGACAGAUGUGAAAUCCCCGGGCUCAACCUGGGAACUGCAUUUGUGACUGCAAGGCUAGAGUACGGUAGAGGGGGAUGGAAUUCCGCGUGUAGCAGUGAAAUGCGUAGAUAUGCGGAGGAACACCGAUGGCGAAGGCAAUCCCCUGGACCUGUACUGACGCUCAUGCACGAAAGCGUGGGGAGCAAACAGG
This 253-nucleotide ribosomal RNA is filed under the name uncultured bacterium. RNAcentral's name for it is "partial 16S ribosomal RNA". It matches the Rfam family "Bacterial small subunit ribosomal RNA", at positions 524 to 776 of the family's 1533-position model. The record is from RNAcentral.